UGAGAAGCUGGCUUCAGGGAAGAGUGAAAGGAAAGGAAAAACUAAAAAUAACUACAGAAUCCAAGUAAUUCCCUCUUACACAGAUCAAAAGAAUUUCCUCCUACACAGCUCAGGUGGAAGCUCCCCUCCUUGUGCCCUGGAAGGAUUUACAGGGUCAUCUGGUUACGAGCGUUACAACUUCCAGUUCCAGAGCUCCACUCACGCCCUGUGCCCCGCACCCUACUCUGACCCUCAAAACUCCAAACCUUGGGUCACCUUGGCUUCCAGCAGAGCCCCCCAUGGCUGAGACGACCCUGAAAACAAGAGAAAUCAUCUCAGAGGAACUGAAUCGCCCCUAAAGUCAUGAGGGUUCCUUCUGAGCUACAAGAGCAGGACUGAGAAAAUGGUCUACUGGACCCCAGCCCAUCACAGCGCCCU
RNAcentral lists this long non-coding RNA (417 nucleotides) under Fukomys damarensis (Damara mole-rat). RNAcentral's name for it is "lncRNA (ENSFDAG00000033542.1)". The record is from RNAcentral. Lineage: Eukaryota; Metazoa; Chordata; Mammalia; Rodentia; Bathyergidae.